GACGAACGCUGGCGGCGUGCUUAACACAUGCAAGUCGAACGGUAAGGCCCUUCGGGGUACACGAGUGGCGAACGGGUGAGUAACACGUGGGUGAUCUGCCCUGCACUUCGGGAUAAGCCUGGGAAACUGGGUCUAAUACCGGAUAGGACCCUGGGAUGCAUGUCCUGGGGUGGAAAGCUUUUGCGGUGUGGGAUGGGCCCGCGGCCUAUCAGCGUGUUGGUGGGGUGAUGGCCUACCAAGGCGACGACGGGUAGCCGGCCUGAGAGGGUAACCGGCCACACUGGGACUGAGAUACGGCCCAGACUCCUACGGGAGGCAGCAGUGGGGAAUAUUGCACAAUGGGCGCAAGCCUGAUGCAGCGACGCCGCGUGAGGGAUGACGGCCUUCGGGUUGUAAACCUCUUUCAGCACCGACGAAGCGCAAGUGACGGUAGGUGCAGAAGAAGGACCGGCCAACUACGUGCCAGCAGCCGCAGUAA
RNAcentral lists this ribosomal RNA (478 nucleotides) under uncultured bacterium. Its description in RNAcentral is "partial 16S ribosomal RNA". It matches the Rfam family "Bacterial small subunit ribosomal RNA", at positions 28 to 523 of the family's 1533-position model. The record is from RNAcentral.